Molecule: ribosomal RNA, 415 nt
Filed under: uncultured bacterium
Lineage: Bacteria
Description: bacterial SSU rRNA
Rfam family: Bacterial small subunit ribosomal RNA
Source: RNAcentral
UGGGGAAUAUUGCACAAUGGGCGCAAGCCUGAUGCAGCGACGCCGCGUGAGGGAUGACGGCCUUCGGGUUGUAAACCUCUUUCAGUAGGGAAGAAGCGAAAGUGACGGUACCUGCAGAAGAAGCGCCGGCUAACUACGUGCCAGCAGCCGCGGUAAUACGUAGGGCGCAAGCGUUAUCCGGAAUUAUUGGGCGUAAAGAGCUCGUAGGCGGUUUGUCGCGUCUGCCGUGAAAGUCCGGGGCUCAACUCCGGAUCUGCGGUGGGUACGGGCAGACUAGAGUGAUGUAGGGGAGACUGGAAUUCCUGGUGUAGCGGUGAAAUGCGCAGAUAUCAGGAGGAACACCGAUGGCGAAGGCAGGUCUCUGGGCAUUAACUGACGCUGAGGAGCGAAAGCAUGGGGAGCGAACAGGAUUAGA